GAUGAACGCUGGCGGCAGGCCUAAUACAUGCAAGUCGAACGGAUGUAGCAAUACAUUAGUGGCGCACGGGUGCCUAACGCGUGGGAACAUACCCUUGAGUAAGGAAUAAUGUCUGGAAACGGACACUAAUACCUUAUAAUGACUUCGGUCCAAAGAUUUAUCGCUCAAGGAUUGGCCCGCGUCUGAUUAGCUAGUUGGUGAGGUAACGGCUCACCAAGGCGACGAUCAGUAGCUGGUCUGAGAGGAUGAUCAGCCACACUGGGACUGAGACACGGCCCAGACUCCUACGGGAGGCAGCAGUAAGGAAUAUUGGACAAUGGGGGAAACCCUGAUCCAGCCAUGCCGCGUGAGUGAAGAAGGCCUUAGGGUUGUAAAGCUCUUUCAAUAGUGAAGAUAAUGACGGUAGCUAUAGAAGAAGCCCCGGCUAAAUUCGUGACAGCCGCCGCGGUAA
Molecule: ribosomal RNA, 451 nt
Filed under: uncultured bacterium
Lineage: Bacteria
Description: partial 16S ribosomal RNA
Rfam family: Bacterial small subunit ribosomal RNA
Source: RNAcentral